RNAcentral lists this ribosomal RNA (498 nucleotides) under uncultured Glomeromycotina. Its description in RNAcentral is "partial small subunit ribosomal RNA". It matches the Rfam family "Eukaryotic small subunit ribosomal RNA", at positions 591 to 1091 of the family's 1831-position model. The record is from RNAcentral. Lineage: Eukaryota; Fungi; Glomeromycota.
CCAAUAGCGUAUAUUAAAGUUGUUGCAGUUAAAAAGCUCGUAGUUGAAUUUCGGGAUUAGUACGCUGGUCGUGCCUUCGGUACGUACUGGUGUUACUGAUUUCUACCUUCUGACGAACCAUCAUUUCAUUAAUUUGGUGUGGUGGGGAAUCAGGACUGUUACUUUGAAAAAAUUAGAGUGUUUAAAGCAGGCUCGCGCUUGAAUACAUUAGCAUGGAAUAAUGAAAUAGGACGUUGAUCCUAUUUUGUUGGUUUCUAGGAUUGACGUAAUGAUUAAUAGGGAUAGUUGGGGGCAUUAGUAUUCAAUUGUCAGAGGUGAAAUUCUUGGAUUUAUUGAAGACUAACUACUGCGAAAGCAUUUGCCAAGGAUGUUUUCAUUAAUCAAGAACGAAAGUUAGGGGAUCGAAGACGAUCAGAUACCGUCGUAGUCUUAACCAUAAACUAUGCCGACUAGGGAUCGGAUGAUGUUAAUUUUUUAAUGACUCAUUCGGCGCCUACG